UACGUAGGGGGCAAGCGUUGUCCGGAUUUAUUGGGCGUAAAGAGCGUGUAGGCGGCCAGGUAGGUCCGUUGUGAAAACUCGAGGCUCAACCUCGAGACGUCGGCGGAAACCCUCUGGCUAGAGUCCGGAAGAGGAGAGUGGAAUUCCCAGUGUAGAGGUGAAAUUCGUAGAUAUUGGGAAGAACACCGGUGGCGAAGGCGGCUCUCUGGACCGAGACUGACGCUGAGGCGCGAAAGCGUGGGGAGCAAACAGG
RNAcentral lists this ribosomal RNA (253 nucleotides) under uncultured bacterium. RNAcentral's name for it is "partial 16S ribosomal RNA". It matches the Rfam family "Bacterial small subunit ribosomal RNA", at positions 524 to 776 of the family's 1533-position model. The record is from RNAcentral.